This is a long non-coding RNA of Carassius gibelio (silver crucian carp), 455 nucleotides long. RefSeq lists it as uncharacterized. NCBI's taxonomy places the organism in Eukaryota, Metazoa, Chordata, Actinopteri, Cypriniformes, Cyprinidae. The transcript is spliced from 3 exons. The record is from RefSeq and is a predicted model, not a curated record.
ACAUGUAAAACUAUUUUCAGCAAAUUUUGCUGAGGACAGCUUGCUGAGGACAACUUUCUCAAUCAGUUUAAUGCCGGAUUCGCACAAAGAUUAUUCUUGAAAGAUGGAGCAGUUCCCUCUUUGUCUGGAGAAGGUGUUGUUUAUGGACCACAACCGGCUUUCCAUGGUUUGAUCUCCAGUCUCUGAGGAUAGCUGCCCUCCUUCCUGUAAAGAGCCUCCAAUAAACACGGAGCCCCAAUGUGAACCGAUUCAAAAGAGCCCAGCUUCAUCUGGAAGAUCUUCCCAAACUUCUUAUGACCUCCUUUCCGGAGCAGCUCGAUGAGGCUUCCGAACAGCGGCCAGUUGGUUGGUCCAGGGAUGGAGUCGAGACUGUGCGCGCAGGGCUGCGCGCUCCCUGCAGCAUCCUUCGAGUCCAACACACACACGGAGGAUGUGGGCUUGCAGUGCUGAAGCCC